UCGAGGGGUAUAGUUCUUCGGAAUUAGAGACCGGCGCACGGGUGCGUAACGCGUAUGCAAUCUACCUUUCACAGAGGGAUAGCCCAGAGAAAUUUGGAUUAAUACCUCAUAGUAUUAUAUAGUGGCAUCACUUUAUAAUUAAAGUCACAACGGUGAAAGAUGAGCAUGCGUCCCAUUAGCUAGUUGGUAAGGUAACGGCUUACCAAGGCAACGAUGGGUAGGGGUCCUGAGAGGGAGAUCCCCCACACUGGUACUGAGACACGGACCAGACUCCUACGGGAGGCAGCAGUGAGGAAUAUUGGACAAUGGGCGCAAGCCUGAUCCAGCCAUGCCGCGUGCAGGAUGACGGUCCUAUGGAUUGUAAACUGCUUUUGCACAGGAAGAAACAACAUUACGUGUAAUGUCUUGACGGUACUGUGAGAAUAAGGAUCGGCUAACUCCGUGCCAGCAGCCGCGGUAAUACGGAGGAUCCAAGCGUUAUCCGGAAUCAUUGGGUUUAAAGGGUCCGUAGGCGGUUUAGUAAGUCAGUGGUGAAAGCCCAUCGCUCAACGGUGGAACGGCCAUUGAUACUGCUAAACUUGAAUUAUUAGGAAGUAACUAGAAUAUGUAGUGUAGCGGUGAAAUGCUUAGAGAUUACAUGGAAUACCAAUUGCGAAGGCAGGUUACUACUAAUGGAUUGACGCUGAUGGACGAAAGCGUGGGUAGCGAACAGGAUUAGAUACCCUGGUAGUCCACGCCGUAAACGAUGGAUACUAGCUGUUGGAAGCAAUUUCAGUGGCUAAGCGAAAGUGAUAAGUAUCCCACCUGGGGGAGUACGUUCGCAAGAAUGAAACUCAAAGGAAUUGACGGGGGCCCGCACAAGCGGUGGAGCAUGUGGUUUAAUUCGAUGAUACGCGAGGAACCUUACCAAGGCUUAAAUGUAGAUUGACCGGUUUGGAAACAGACUUUUCGCAAGACAAUUUACAAGGUGCUGCAUGGUUGUCGUCAGCUCGUGCCGUGAGGUGUCAGGUUAAGUCCUAUAACGAGCGCAACCCCUGUUGUUAGUUGCCAGCGAGUCAUGUCGGGAACUCUAACGAGACUGCCAGUGCAAACUGAAAAGAAAGUUGGGGAUGA
This 1113-nucleotide ribosomal RNA is filed under the name Flavobacterium sp. Its description in RNAcentral is "bacterial SSU rRNA". It matches the Rfam family "Bacterial small subunit ribosomal RNA", at positions 62 to 1182 of the family's 1533-position model. Lineage: Bacteria; Pseudomonadati; Bacteroidota; Flavobacteriia; Flavobacteriales; Flavobacteriaceae. The record is from RNAcentral.